UGGAUUUUCUCUUGUGUUUCUCUCCGAUUUUCUACGGUAUGCGGACUUACACAAAUAAACACAUUAUCUAUCCUAAUUUCAACAUUUAAAUUUCUAUGCAUUUCCUUUUUCAAUGAUUGAGAUUUAACUAGACCCUACGGUCACCGUCACUGCAUAAGAUCCAUUCUUUCUCUAGCACCAACCCUAGUAAUGGAAACAACCGGGAGUGUAAAUGACUUCUGUCGGGUUUUGUGUACCAUGAUUAUUACCAGCCAUGUCAGCUUUAAGCUUUAAGUCUUCAUUGUCAUGCUAUUGUCUUUGACUAAUAUUUGUCGUGUCCUUUUUGAAUUCUGUUCUUCUUCCAACAAGAUUCACUCGCGGCCAACUGAAUUGACAAUUUUACCUCUGCGGGAGUUAACUCACGCUGUAUGAGUUAACUAACACAUCUUAUACCAUUUGCGUGACUUACGUGUAUAUGACAGCAACACAUAAACAUAACACUUCACUUUUCUUUUCAUCCAAAGUGCGAUUUUUCCCCUCCAUGUGCGAAUUUCACAAAACUCAACCAAAUCAUCGUCAAAUCACGCAAUUGAACAAAUAUGUCUUGGAGGAAUACAGCUCAGAGGCCUCCUGAGCUGACGAGUGACAGACUUAGGUUAGGGAGAGUGCAGUCCUCUACUAGUAGGGCAUAGAGGGAAAGGGAUACACUACGCCAUCCUUUGGCUAGUCGAGGGAGAGGAGGGCACGAGACUUGCUAGGGUUGACGCUGCUGGGGCCUCAACGUCACAGAUGGGUCCAUCCCACACGGUGGACCCGACACAAUAUCAGCAACAUUAUGAGGAGUAGCACCAGGCGCAGAAUCAGACUUAUUAUGAGGAGCCUCAACAAUAUCAUUUUGACGUGGAUCAACAACAUUAGUAUGAAGAUCAUCAAUAUCAGCCUGAUAUUGAGCAGGAGCAACCUAAUAAGGAGCAUCCUCAGCAGAAGGAGGGUGGGGGUCAUGCUUAGGGGGUGCCAGUUGUGGAGUACGAGGCCAGACCGAACGGCCAUGGAGGGGGGCCUUAUGUGCCCACGCUUUUACCUCACUUCGGUAAACACGUGGCAUGUAGGAUAUAUGUCGAUGUCAAUGUAAGUAUAUACAUGACCUGGUUCUGUAGUGUAUCACAUCCUAUUGUGAACCCCUCUGCGACCAUUCCUAACUACACUGCUGAUGCCCAUCCUCGUUCUGUCCCUCCCUACGAGGAGGUUAUUAUUAAGCAACAGUGGGCCAGACAUCCUCCCGACCCAUACAAGAUCAUCAACAACAUCAAAGCCAAAGUGGACAAUGCAAUGGGACAUCCUGAUGUGUUUCGUAAUCCAGAGGAGGUUCUUCGCAUGAUGCAGGGCAUACAGUCUGAGUGGAGCAUGCUGGAGCAGAUGCCGGCUCCGCGGAGGAGGAGUAGGAGUCCACGGAUGGAGCAUUAUGACUUUUGUAGUUUUUUAUGACAUUUUGUUGGAUGUGGAUGUAAUCCUAUUACAUUUGCACUUUUUGGCGUUUUUAUGACAUUUUUCGUUAUUUUAUUC
Long non-coding RNA from Medicago truncatula (barrel medic), 1542 nucleotides. RefSeq lists it as uncharacterized. The transcript has 2 exons. The record is from RefSeq and is a predicted model, not a curated record. Lineage: Eukaryota; Viridiplantae; Streptophyta; Magnoliopsida; Fabales; Fabaceae.